This 497-nucleotide ribosomal RNA is filed under the name uncultured bacterium. RNAcentral describes it as "partial 16S ribosomal RNA". It matches the Rfam family "Bacterial small subunit ribosomal RNA", at positions 28 to 507 of the family's 1533-position model. The record is from RNAcentral.
GAUGAACGCUGGCGGCGUGCCUAAUACAUGCAAGUCGAGCGAACAGACGAGGAGCUUGCUCCUCUGACGUUAGCGGCGGACGGGUGAGUAACACGUGGAUAACCUACCUAUAAGACUGGGAUAACUUCGGGAAACCGGAGCUAAUAACGGAUAAUAUAUUGAACCGCAUGGUUCAAUAGUGAAAGACGGUUUUGCUGUCACUUAUAGCUGGAUCCGCGUCGCAUUAGCUAGUUGGUAAGGUAACGGCUUACCAAGGCAACGAUGCGUAGCCGACCUGAGAGGAUGAUCAGCCACACUGGAACUGAGACACGGUCCAGACUCCUACGGGAGGCAGCAGUAGGGAAUCUUCCGCAAUGGGCGAAAGCCUGACGGAGCAACGCCGCGUGAGUGAUGAAGGUCUUCGGAUCGUAAAACUCUGUUAUUAGGAAAGAACAAAUGUGUAAGUAUCUAUGCACGUCUUGACGGUACCUAAUCAGAAAGCCACGGCUAACUACGUG